CUCCAUGUACACUGAGUCAUGGAGCAAAAUCCCUUUCCUUCAUAAUGUCUGCGUGUGCCAGAAGCUGCGUGAGCUUCUGAAGGUAGAACAAAAAUCAAGAUGUGAUCCCUGACUUGAAGAGUUUGGAUCCUACCAGAGGAACAAUCCAAGGCAGAAAGUGCUGAGUGCCACAUCAGCGGCAGCAGAGAAAGGACUAAGGGAGCCUGGUAGAGACAGCGUUCAUGUCUGCUAUUGGGGAUCAGGGAAGAGUCGUGGUAGAACAGCCACAGUCCGUGACGGGAGAAGUGCAUCAUGAGAAAAGAGACCCAGGAGAGCAACUGACUGAAGUGCUCUUGGAAUGACGACUUCAGUUUGCUGGUGCAUUGGGUCAAAGCACCGGGGAAACAUGGUUGAGUGCCCGGGCUGGAGAGAAGAACACAGUGGUUCCAUGCUCAGGGCUCAAGUCAUCCUCUGGAGUCAUUGGCCAUUUCCUGCAGGCUGGGGAGGUGGUGACAGCCACGCAAAUGGUGGAGAUCAUCUUGAGUUUACCACUGGUCCAAGUCCAUGGAGUUGGGUUACUUGGAUAUGGGCACCCCCAUAUGUCUAAUGCCUUCCAAGAUAUUAAGUGUCAUGUAAACGCAGCACUUCCCCUUCUGCCCAUGAGUGUCUGUUGUCACCUGUCAGAAGGCAAUGCCAUAGGCUGUUUAUUUGAUGUGGAGACAAGAUACCACAUCUUCCUGGAGCCUUUCAACUUCUUAAGUUGUGAUCCUGGACAGCAGCGGUGCUGCAAUAUCUGGAACUACCAAAGAACAUUAAUGGAAGAAUGAGGGAUUGUUGGGGACAUGACCUCAUAGGAUGGGUACAGCAGAGAUGUUUAAAGAUUUGGGAUCUAGAGGUACAAAUUGCCUUUCCAUGGUCAGAGAAAGGUCCUGGAGCUGGAUAGAACCUGACGGUCUGGUCUUCCCUACCAAAUUCUGCUGUGUGUAUGGGAAUGGCUACCCUUUAUGCUAGAGCCUGCCCCAAGGCUGUGUCAGCUCUACUUUAAAAACCAACUUGAAAUGGUGGAUGCUUGACAGACACUAUUAUCCCCACUCCAACGAUGAGAACACUGAGGUCAAGGAUUUGGCUCAAGGUCAUCCCGCAAGGUCUUGUUGGAGGCAGAAAUAGCAUCUGAGCCUUCACUCCUAAUCCAGCUCUCAUUGCUUGUUGCGGUGUGCCAUGGCUGAAGUUACACGAUGAGGCAUCUAUCUAAACCAGAGAGCCAAGUUCUGGGUUCAUGUUACGUCUUUCUAUUCCUUCACUUGGCCUCCCACUGCUGGCUCAGAGCAGUUCCUUGCUCUGAUCUAUUGGUUUUUUCUUAGGCUGGAGAGAGUUACCACACUUCCUGAUCCUGACCUCCAGUGGAGGAGGGUGGAACCUAACGGCAUCAUUUGGAUCAUACUUGACUCCAGCGAUUGCUCCAAACUUGAAGAGCAGCGAGUGGAGAAUUUGUCUUUUAACCCUAUCAAGUGACCUGGUCUUUAACGCGUGAUUGGCAAUAAUGGAGGAGAUUCAGACAACCAUCCCGUCACAGCUUCCUGCUGGAGAGGCAGCAAGAAGCUAGGACUUAAACUCUGAGGGCAGAGUAUCCUGGAUUCACACCCCGACUCUGUUGUUUCCUGGUUGUGUGGCCUUCGGCAAGUCCCUGAACAUCGCGGUAGCUCAAUUUCCUGGUUUGUAAGAUGGGUGAAAAGAAUUCCUUAGGAUGAGGUAAUCUGGGCAAAGUUCCUGUCAUGUAAGAGAUAUUCAGGAAAUAUUGGUUUCUUCACUCCUCCCCACGCCACACACGUGUUGAAUACAGUAACUUUAUUUUCACCACCACCUUACAAGAAACAAUGGCACGCCUAGGUAAGCUGAGUGACUCAAGAGCUAGCAAAAAACUAAGUCUUUGGAGUUAGCUACGUUGCAUGCCAAGUGUAAAUUUCCCAUUAAUGGGCUUUAAGUAUAUUAAUGGGAGAAUUUUUGUGCUCCUUGGAUGGAAAAAAAAUACAACAUUUUGUGCCUCUGGUAUCUGAGAGGAAGCCCUGAGACAGAUGGGUUCCCAUAAGUUGUGCAUCGUGAAUGCAAGGAAACUUCAUUCUUCUUACACUACCAGGCAGUCGAUCCAAAAUGGGGAAAAACUCUUUACAUGAAAGCAUGCAAUUACAUGCCAUACCCUGCAAUUCUAAUUACUGAUGACUUAAAUUGAAGCACAGCCUUUUACAUAGGAGUUUUAUGAUCAAGAAUUAAGAAAUUUAAAAAUAUUAUGGGGCCGGCUGAUGGCGCAGCAGUUAAGUUCGCACAUUCCACUUUGAUGGCCC
Molecule: long non-coding RNA, 2318 nt
Organism: Equus quagga
Lineage: Eukaryota; Metazoa; Chordata; Mammalia; Perissodactyla; Equidae
Exons: 3
Source: RefSeq, a predicted model, not a curated record